AUUGAACGCUGGCGGCAUGCCUAACACAUGCAAGUCGAACGGGGGCAGCAAUGCCUUAGUGGCGGACGGGUGAGGAACGCGUAGGAAUUGGCCCACGAGUGGGGGACAACCUGGGGGAAACCCCAGGCUAAUACCGCAUACGCUCGCGAGAGGAAAGCGGGGGGACCUUCGGGGCCUCGCGCUGGUGGACAAGCCUACGUCCGAUUAGCUAGUUGGUAGGGUAAAAGCCUACCAAGGCGACGAUCGGUAGCUGGUCUGAGAGGAUGAUCAGCCACACUGGGACUGAGACACGGCCCAGACUCCUACGGGAGGCAGCAGUGGGGGAAUAUUGGACAAUGGGCGCAGACCUGAUCCAGCAAUGCCGCGUGGGUGAAGAAGGCCUGCGGGUUGUAAAGCCCUUUAAGC
Molecule: ribosomal RNA, 405 nt
Filed under: uncultured bacterium
Lineage: Bacteria
Description: bacterial SSU rRNA
Rfam family: Bacterial small subunit ribosomal RNA
Source: RNAcentral